AGAAUCAACGCUGGCGGCGUGCCUAACACAUGCAAGUCGAACGCGAAAGCCCCGAAAGGGGCAAGUAGAGUGGCAAACGGGUGAGUAACGCGUGGGUGACCUGCCUUCGAGCGGGGGAUAACGUUCCGAAAGGGACGCUAAUACCGCAUAACAUCCUGCCCUUGAAGAGGUGGAGAUCAAAGCUGGGGAUCGCAAGACCUGGCACUUGAAGAGGGGCUCGCGUCUGAUUAGCUAGUUGGUGAGGUAACGGCUCACCAAGGCAACGAUCAGUA
RNAcentral lists this ribosomal RNA (272 nucleotides) under uncultured bacterium. Its description in RNAcentral is "partial small subunit ribosomal RNA". It matches the Rfam family "Bacterial small subunit ribosomal RNA", at positions 26 to 285 of the family's 1533-position model. The record is from RNAcentral.